GGAAGUGACAGACAGUUCUUCUGUUGUGUCAGAUCCUGUUCAAUAUAAAUACUUGCAAUGUUAUUAAAGUAGACAUAUCACAUUGAUUGCGUUUGAACAACUUCUUCACGAACAUCCUUGCAAUGCUGACUUGCACCACGAAUGCUGACUUGCAUCACGAAUGCUGUCUUCCCACAACGGCGACUGAUGAGGUUUUCUUAAAACAAACACCAUUAAUGAAGCAGUGCGCUGACAUCUGCAGGAAACCAACAACUAAAUGAAUGCGAGAAGCAACAUCCCAUCUCAGCCUUCCCACGCUACUGAAUCCUCCCCACCACCAGUCAGUGUUGUCAAGGCGAUAUACAGUUGAUGUGCUGUAAAUUGAUUUCUGGGGAGAUGUGAUGGAUGAAUGGAAAAUGAACAUCUUCAUCGGUGACCCCUCCGCGCCGUCGUCUCGAUU
Molecule: long non-coding RNA, 439 nt
Filed under: Oncorhynchus kisutch (coho salmon)
Lineage: Eukaryota; Metazoa; Chordata; Actinopteri; Salmoniformes; Salmonidae
Description: lncRNA (ENSOKIG00005019538.1)
Source: RNAcentral